Long non-coding RNA from Cephus cinctus (wheat stem sawfly), 864 nucleotides. RefSeq lists it as uncharacterized. The record is from RefSeq and is a predicted model, not a curated record. Lineage: Eukaryota; Metazoa; Arthropoda; Insecta; Hymenoptera; Cephidae. The transcript is spliced from 4 exons.
CGAGACUCGACCGAGUCUCGCGCAAUGUCAUGGUGGCGUCAAACAAGCCCUUAAUAUGGCGUCCCUUCCGGGUGUUGGCCGGACUCUUACUAGAGGGACUCUAAACACGCACUUACAUAUAGGUCUUGCAACUCGAUCAAUUUUCAGCGGUGGGGGGUAGUCGUCUUAAAAGAAGCAGGGUGCACUUUAACUUUUAGUCACAAACGUCGCUGUGAUCGAGUGACUCCUUAUCUAUCUCACUCUACAGUCGGCUGUGGAAAAAAGAAAUAGAAACGGGUUACCUUCGAAUCAGAGGUGGCCGUAGCCCAGUGGUUAGGGUAGCGAAUUCACGACCGAAAGGUUCAGGGUUUCGCGCCCAACUUCCAGUGGCAUUCACCAAUGGGUUUUCAUAUGAAACUUAAGUCCCCUCACGCUGAGUUGAAUAAGGCCCGUCUCGCAAGCAGGCUUCUUCGACACUAGCGAUUGCGGGAAAAACUGGCAAAAUCGACCGCAUUAGGGUUACGAGCUACAACGUGGUGAGGAUAGGGAACUGCCCAGACCUGUAUACAAGACCGUGUUUCGAAACAGGCGUACGGAUUCCAAUAUAUUAGGGCUCAUUCAGACCGAAAGCAGCGGGAAGCGAGCAGCGGAAUCUUGGCCGCGAAACUACAUUUUCUGCCUUUUUAUAUCAAGUAACCGGAGUUCAGUGGGUUUUGACGGCCAUCUUGUCACAUAAGCAGAACGCCCGCAAUCGUGGUUACGAAAAAAAACGUUUUUUGAAAAUGAGUGGCUAAGUUCCCGUGUACCUGAGCAAUGAGCGACGAUUUCUGGCUGAAAAAAUUGUAAAGUGUGCUCAAAAUGUAAAUAAAUAUGUAGUAAAAAUUU